UACAGUAGUUGCAACAAGUUGAAGCGUCUGCCCUCUGUAGAUGCAUUGAACCUUUUAGAAAUUAGAGAUUGCCCGAAACUACGUAUUGAUUCAGAAUGGCUCAGCCAGCAUCCCCAUCUGGCAAUCAAGAUCGAUGACCAACCCGUUUGAAUGUUGUUGCAAUUCCAGCCGACGAGCUUAAAAAGUCACGGCCUCGGAAUAACUUGGUAUUCACGCAGGACUUGUGAAACAGGCUAAGGAGUCGAACAUAGGAUUCCGUUGGAGGUUGAGAUUGAAGCUAAGAACAGAGUUGGACAGAGUCAGAAAAGUAGAUCGAAGUUCGUAGGAUUUCUCCAUAGACUACUUUUACGUAGUACCAACUCCAGAACGUGCCAUGAUCGUCUUCACAUCAAGCACUCCAUGAUCUCAAUGGUUUUGAUUGUUUGUAGUGUUUUCCAUGCUUUGGAUUAUUGGUUGGUUUUAUGUUGUUCCAAUCCCACAUGAAUUUAUGGACAGACACUAAUGUAGUAUCUUUGUUAUUCAUUAGCUAUAUAGUCCUUAUCUACAAGUUUUCCUGUUGAA
This is a non-coding RNA of Salvia hispanica, 561 nucleotides long. NCBI's taxonomy places the organism in Eukaryota, Viridiplantae, Streptophyta, Magnoliopsida, Lamiales, Lamiaceae. The record is from RefSeq and is a predicted model, not a curated record.